CUAAGUUUGAUGGCGACCGGCGCACGGGUGAGUAACACGUAUCCAACCUGCCGAUAACUCCGGAAUAGCCUUUCGAAGAAAGAUUAAUACCGGAUGGCAUACGAAUAUCGCAUGAUAUUUUUAUUUAAAGAAUUUCGGUUAUCGAUGGGGAUGCGUUCCAUUAGGCAGUUGGUGGGGUAACGGCCCACCAAACCUUCGAUGGAUAGGGGUUCUGAGAGGAAGGUCCCCCACAUUGGAACUGAGACACGGUCCAAACUCCUACGGGAGGCAGCAUG
RNAcentral lists this ribosomal RNA (275 nucleotides) under uncultured bacterium. Its description in RNAcentral is "partial 16S ribosomal RNA". It matches the Rfam family "Bacterial small subunit ribosomal RNA", at positions 79 to 353 of the family's 1533-position model. The record is from RNAcentral.